UAGAUGUGAGAGUAGAGCAUAUCAAUAAGCGGAGGAAAAGAAACUAACAAGGAUUCCCUAGUAACGGCGAGUGAAGCGGGAAGAGCUCAAAUUUGAAAUCUUAAAGGGUUUCCCUUGACGAAUUGCAGUUUAUAGAAGUGUUUUCUGUUGGAGUUUUCGGUAAAAGUUCUUUGGAAUAGGACAUCAUAGAGGGUGAGAAUCCCGUAUUUGACCGUUACUUUUCAGCUGUGUGAUACACUUUCAAAGAGUCGGAUUGUUUGGGAAUGCAGUCCAAAAUGGGUGGUAAAUUUCAUCUAAAGCUAAAUAUUGGUGAGAGACCGAUAGCGAACAAGUACCGUGAGGGAAAGAUGAAAAGAACUUUGAAAAGAGAGUUAAACAGUACGUGAAAUUGUCAAAAGGGAAGCGUUUGACACCAGUGUUGUUUAGUUGAAAAUCAAUUCAAUAAUUUUUGAUUUUAAGUAGUAUUGACUUCAUCAGCUUGCUGCUUUCUUUUCAGGAAUUAUUGAAUGCACUUUUCAGUUAACAAGUCAACAUCAAUUUCUUUUGUUGUAAAAGGGUAAGAGGAAGGUGGCUUACGUUUCGGCGUAAGUGUUUAUAGCCUUUUACCUCUGCAAUCGGAGAGAUUGAGGCCAGCAGCGUAGACUCCUUCUGGGGUUAGAUACACUUGUGCUAAGCUAUAGCCUUGUAUAGACAACUUGUUGACUAUGCUCAGUCAUGUAGCUUACUCGCUUGUGCUAUUUUACCUACGCUUAGGAUGUUGACGAGACUGUCGAUCUC
Molecule: ribosomal RNA, 777 nt
Filed under: uncultured Neocallimastigales
Lineage: Eukaryota; Fungi; Neocallimastigomycota; Neocallimastigomycetes; Neocallimastigales
Description: partial large subunit ribosomal RNA
Rfam family: Eukaryotic large subunit ribosomal RNA
Source: RNAcentral